RNAcentral lists this ribosomal RNA (389 nucleotides) under uncultured bacterium. RNAcentral's name for it is "bacterial SSU rRNA". It matches the Rfam family "Bacterial small subunit ribosomal RNA", at positions 27 to 417 of the family's 1533-position model. The record is from RNAcentral.
GGACGAACGCUGGCGGCGUGCUUAACACAUGCAAGUCGAGCGGUAAGGCCCUUUCGGGGGUACACGAGCGGCGAACGGGUGAGUAACACGUGGGUGACCUGCCCUCAGCUCUGGGAUAAGCCUGGGAAACCGGGUCUAAUACUGGAUAUGACUCCAUGACGCAUGUUGUGGGGUGGAAAGCCUUGUGCGGCUGAGGAUGGGCCCGCGGCCUAUCAGCUUGUUGGUGGGGUGANGGCCUACCAAGGCGACGACGGGUAGCCGGCCUGAGAGGGCGACCGGCCACACUGGGACUGAGACACGGCCCAGACUCCUACGGGAGGCAGCAGUGGGGAAUAUUGGACAAUGGGCGCAAGCCUGAUCCAGCGAUGCCGCGUGUGUGAAGAAGGCCU